This 534-nucleotide long non-coding RNA is filed under the name Anser brachyrhynchus (Pink-footed goose). RNAcentral describes it as "lncRNA (ENSABRG00000020962.1)". Lineage: Eukaryota; Metazoa; Chordata; Aves; Anseriformes; Anatidae. The record is from RNAcentral.
GCCAGAGGUUAUUGUUUUUUUGUUUGUUAAGGUUGAUUGUUUCAAACUAUGUUUUGUUUCUUUGUUGUAAUCCAAACACAGGAUUAUGAGAAAAAAAACUGCAGCUGAGAUAUUUACUGAUGCCUGAUAUAAAAUAAAUCUUUGCCAAAAUGGAGGACCAGACGGUGGACGAAGCAAAGAGAUUUUCUGUUCGAAGCUUGAUAUACAGUGGAUAAAGUUGUGAAGCCAUCCUUCCCAAUUCCUCCCAGGUGUGAGAUCUUCAGCAAGAAUGGCUGCUGCCAUCAGGAUGCAAUAUGUGGCCACCCGAAUGCUGAAGACCAGGGUACAACAUGUGCAGAUUCCGGAGGAGGACAGAUGGAUUGAAAGACAUACAACAAAAUAGGCCCAACAUGCUGCUGAUCAGUACAGGUAUUACAUAGGGCUAUAUUAAAGAUGAGCAAAUGGGAAUACUUAUUCUACAGUUGAAAGACAGAAGGUGAAGAGAAUUUCAACCAUAUUCUAAUUUGAAAAGGAUCCUUAUGUUUUCUCAGGGGA